AGGAAUUGACGGGGGNCCCGCACAAGCGGUGGAGCAUGUGGUUUAUUUCGAUGAUACGCGAGAAACCUUACCAGGGCUUNAAUGCAGUAUGACAGAUUUGGAAACAGAUUUUUCUCCGGACAUAUUGCAAGGUGCUGCAUGGUUNUCGUCAGCUCGUGCCGUGAGGUGUCAGGUUAAGUCCUAUAACGAGCGCAACCCCUAUUUCUAGUUGCCANCACAUAAUGGUGGGGACUCUAGAGAGACUGCCGGUGCAAACCGUGAGGAAGGUGGGGAUGACGUCAAAUCAUCACGGCCCUUACGUCCUGGGCUACACACGUGCUACAAUGGUAGGGACAGAGAGCAGCCACUUCGCGAGAAGGAGCGAAUCUACAAACCCUAUCUCAGUUCGGAUCGCAGUCUGCAACUCGACUGCGUGAAGCUGGAAUCGCUAGUAAUCGCAUAUCAGCCAUGAUGNNGUGAAUACGUUCCCGGNCCUUGUACACACCGCCCGUCAAGCCAUGGAAGCUGGGGGUGCCUGAAGUCGGUGACCGAAAGGAGCUGCCUAGGGUAAAACUAGUAACUGGGGCUAAGUCGUAACAAGGUAACCGUAAAGGGCGAAUU
Molecule: ribosomal RNA, 600 nt
Filed under: uncultured Bacteroidota bacterium
Lineage: Bacteria; Pseudomonadati; Bacteroidota
Description: bacterial SSU rRNA
Rfam family: Bacterial small subunit ribosomal RNA
Source: RNAcentral